This 253-nucleotide ribosomal RNA is filed under the name uncultured bacterium. RNAcentral describes it as "partial 16S ribosomal RNA". It matches the Rfam family "Bacterial small subunit ribosomal RNA", at positions 524 to 776 of the family's 1533-position model. The record is from RNAcentral.
UACGGGGGGGGCAAGCGUUGUUCGGAAUUACUGGGCGUAAAGGGCUCGUAGGUGGCCAACUAAGUCGGACGUGAAAUCCCUCGGCUUAACCGGGGAACUGCGUCCGAUACUGGUUGGCUUGAGUUUGGGAGAGGGAUGCGGAAUUCCAGGUGUAGCGGUGAAAUGCGUAGAUAUCUGGAGGAAUACCGGUGGCGAAGGCGGCAUCCUGGACCGAGAUUGACACUGAUGAGCGAAAGCUAGGGGAGCAAACGGG